AUGUACGUGCACGUGUACGUGUACACAUUUCAUUUCAUGGUAUGUACCGUGUACGUGUACGUGUUACCCUACAUAUAUAGCUUACUAUAUGCUAGCAUAUGUGUGUUGGGUUCGUGGUACGUGGAUGGCAGGUACGGUUUCCUUCUUCGACGUCUUAGUCAUGUGGGGCUGUCAGAUCUGAAGUAUGAUGGCGUGUCCGGGGUGUUGCCCCGGUAUGUUUCAUUCAACGGUAAGGUUUUGCUUUUGGCGAGCCACCUCAGAGGUCCGCAAAGCUGCACGUCAGCGAUCGAGCCGCGUUGA
RNAcentral lists this ribosomal RNA (300 nucleotides) under Triticum aestivum (bread wheat). RNAcentral describes it as "partial small subunit ribosomal RNA". The record is from RNAcentral. Lineage: Eukaryota; Viridiplantae; Streptophyta; Magnoliopsida; Poales; Poaceae.